This 404-nucleotide ribosomal RNA is filed under the name uncultured bacterium. Its description in RNAcentral is "partial 16S ribosomal RNA". It matches the Rfam family "Bacterial small subunit ribosomal RNA", at positions 338 to 734 of the family's 1533-position model. The record is from RNAcentral.
CCUACGGGAGGCAGCAGUAGGGAAUCUUCCACAAUGGACGCAAGCCUGAUGCAGCCAUGCCGCGUGUGUGAAGAAGGCCUUCGGGUCGUAAAGCUCUUUUGGCAGGGAAGAAAGGUGUAGGUAGAAUCUCGCCUUUCAUUGACGGUAAUUACUGAGAAAGCAACGGCUAACUACGUGCCAGCAGCCGCGGUAAUACGUAGGGUGCAAGCGUUGUUCGGAUUUAUUGGGCGUAAAGCGCACGCAGGCGGUUCAAUAAGUCUGAUGUGAAAGCCUCGGGCUCAACCGGAGAAUUGCAUCAGAUACUGGUGAGCUUGAGUGCAGUAGAGGAGGGUAGAACUCCAUGUGUAGCGGUGGAAUGCGUAGAGAUAUGGAGGAAUACCGGUGGCGAAGGCGGCUCUCUGGUC